This 253-nucleotide ribosomal RNA is filed under the name uncultured bacterium. RNAcentral's name for it is "partial 16S ribosomal RNA". It matches the Rfam family "Bacterial small subunit ribosomal RNA", at positions 524 to 776 of the family's 1533-position model. The record is from RNAcentral.
UACAGAGGUCUCAAGCGUUGUUCGGAUUCAUUGGGCGUAAAGGGUGCGUAGGUGGCGCCGUAAGUCAGGUGUGAAAUCUCGGGGCUCAACCCCGAAACUGCACUUGAUACUGCGGUGCUCGAGUACUGGAGAGGAGAUUGGAAUUUACGGUGUAGCGGUGAAAUGCGUAGAUAUCGUAAGGAAGACCAGUGGCGAAGGCGGGUCUCUGGACAGUUCCUGACGCUGAGGCACGAAGGUCAGGGGAGCAAACGGG